GACGAACGCUGGCGGCGUGCCUAAUACAUGCAAGUCGAACGCUGAAGGAGGAGCUUGCUUCUCUGGAUGAGUUGCGAACGGGUGAGUAACGCGUAGGUAACCUGCCUGGUAGCGGGGGAUAACUAUUGGAAACGAUAGCUAAUACCGCAUAAUAGUAGAUGUUGCAUGACAUUUGCCUAAAAGGUGCAAUUGCAUCACUACCAGAUGGACCUGCGUUGUAUUAGCUAGUUGGUGGGGUAACGGCUCACCAAGGCGACGAUACAUAGCCGACCUGAGAGGGUGAUCGGCCACACUGGGACUGAGACACGGCCCAGACUCCUACGGGAGGCAGCAGUAGGGAAUCUUCGGCAAUGGACGGAAGUCUGACCGAGCAACACCGCGUGAGUGAAGAAGGUUUUCGGAUCGUAAAGCUCUGUUGUAAGAGAAGAACGAGUGUGAGAGUGGAAAGUUCACACUGUGACGGUAGCUUACCAGAAAGGGACGGCUAACUACGUG
RNAcentral lists this ribosomal RNA (495 nucleotides) under uncultured bacterium. RNAcentral's name for it is "partial 16S ribosomal RNA". It matches the Rfam family "Bacterial small subunit ribosomal RNA", at positions 28 to 507 of the family's 1533-position model. The record is from RNAcentral.